Non-coding RNA from Pelobates cultripes (western spadefoot toad), 426 nucleotides. The record is from the annotation of a GenBank genome assembly. Lineage: Eukaryota; Metazoa; Chordata; Amphibia; Anura; Pelobatidae.
CAGACAUGUAGCGGAAAUGCCAGGUUUUGUUUACAUUUUGUUUUGUUCACAACGUGUACAUUUGGCUCCGUCCUUAAGGGGUUAAAUCACUUUGUUUCUGUUUAUGCAGCCCUAACCACACCUCCCCUGGCUAUGAUUGACAGAGCCUGCAUGAAAAAAAAACUGGUUUCACUUUCAAACAGAUGUAAUUUACCUUAAAUAAUUGUAUCUCAAUCUCUAAAUUGAACUUUAAUCACAUACAGGAGGCUCUUGCAGGGUCUAGCAAGCUAUUAACAUAGCAGGGGAUAAGAAAAUCUUAAUUAAACAGAACUUGCAAUAAAGAAAGCCUAAAUAGGGCUCUCUUUACAGGAAGUGUUUAUGGAAGGCUGUGCAAGUCACAUGCAGGGAGGUGUGAUUAGGGUUCAUAAACAAAGGGAUUUAACUCCU